Molecule: long non-coding RNA, 735 nt
Organism: Triticum urartu
Lineage: Eukaryota; Viridiplantae; Streptophyta; Magnoliopsida; Poales; Poaceae
Source: RefSeq, a predicted model, not a curated record
UCAUUUUUUUUUCUCAAACCACAUGCACAUGUCAUCCUCUACAUAGAACUGUUGCUUUAGUUAAAAAGAAAAACUGCAUCUUCCUCUCCUCUCAGUCGAUCCCCUUUAGUCCUCCUCACCCACAUGCGCCACCGGUUCUGAUUAGCAGCCAGCGAAGUACUAAACGCGAGCCCUAAUCGUGGCGACCUAAAAUGGGGCACGCAGCAGAGGCAAACUUGUGUGGCUGGGUCUCAGCUCGAUGGAGGAGGGCCAUCAAUGGGAGGGCAGCGUUCAGCCCAAAAUUUGGUUGCCGAAGCCCGAAGGGGAGGUUGAUGUACACGUGCUGGAUCUGCGGCACAAUAUAGAGGUUUUCCUUCCAGCUAUGGUCAGGUCUCAAGGGUCAGGUUUUCUUCGAAGAGUGAUGAUAUCAUAUCUCAAAAGAACUCGGAUGGAUUACCUGAUUUAGUAGGUUUUCUUGAUUUGUCGUAGUGAGAAGCAACUCAAAAGGUUGGGCAUGAAAUCAUCUGGCAUCGGCACCAAGUUGCACAUGAAACUUUGGUUUUUCCUGGCUUCGAUCUUUGUCAGGCAUAGUAUUGGCUGACUUUGAUUUUUGUGAUUGUGUUUUGGUCCCGUAGUUCGGGCUGGCUUCUACUUUCUUGGGUGUGUGCCUGGUUUGGCCGACUAGAUGUGUUUGGUUUUCCGUGGUUGUGGAAUUAUGUAUGUUGUAUCCUACUCCGUAAAUCUUAUUUGCAUGCA